UCAUUUCGGGAGAUACGCCGUGGGCGGCAA
Molecule: small RNA, 30 nt
Filed under: Bombyx mori (domestic silkworm)
Lineage: Eukaryota; Metazoa; Arthropoda; Insecta; Lepidoptera; Bombycidae
Description: ovarian small RNA-26399
Source: RNAcentral